RNAcentral lists this unclassified non-coding RNA (129 nucleotides) under plant metagenome. Its description in RNAcentral is "partial contains 5.8S ribosomal RNA, internal transcribed spacer 2, and large subunit ribosomal RNA". The record is from RNAcentral.
UCACCGUCGAUACGAAGCACCUCCUCAUUCGCUCUUACGCCACCAGCAGGCCAUCUAAGCGGGUAAAAGGAUAGAUGCAACCAAUGCCAGCGGCGCAACGUAGAAUAUGUAGAUAGAUCUUGGUGGAUG